This 1452-nucleotide ribosomal RNA is filed under the name uncultured organism. RNAcentral describes it as "partial small subunit ribosomal RNA". It matches the Rfam family "Bacterial small subunit ribosomal RNA". The record is from RNAcentral.
AGCGACAGGCUUAACACAUGCAAGUCGAGGGGCAGCGGAGGCGAGUGCUUGCACUUGCCGGACGGCGACCGGCGCACGGGUGAGUAACCCGUAUGCGACCUGCCCGUAGCAGGGGGAUAAGCGGAAGAAAUUCCGUCUAAUACCGCGUAAUAUCUUUCGGGGGCAUCCCUGAGGGAUUAAAGGAAGCGAUUCCGGCUACGGAUGGGCAUGCGGCGCAUUAGCUAGUCGGCGGGGUAACGGCCCACCGAGGCGACGAUGCGUAGGGGUUCUGAGAGGAAGGUCCCCCACACUGGUACUGAGACACGGACCAGACUCCUACGGGAGGCAGCAGUGAGGAAUAUUGGUCAAUGGGCGAGAGCCUGAACCAGCCAAGUCGCGUGAGGGAAGACGGUCCUAUGGAUUGUAAACCUCUUUUGUCGGGGAGCAAAAAGGCCUCGUGAGGCCACAAGUGAGAGUACCCGAAGAAAAAGCAUCGGCUAACUCCGUGCCAGCAGCCGCGGUAAUACGGAGGAUGCGAGCGUUAUCCGGAUUUAUUGGGUUUAAAGGGUGCGUAGGCGGACUGGAAAGUCAGCGGUAAAAUCGAGAGGCUCAACCUCUUUCCGCCGUUGAAACUGUCGGUCUUGAGUGGGCGAGAAGUAUGCGGAAUGCGUGGUGUAGCGGUGAAAUGCAUAGAUAUCACGCAGAACUCCGAUUGCGAAGGCAGCAUACCGGCGCCCGACUGACGCUGAGGCACGAAAGCGUGGGUAUCGAACAGGAUUAGAUACCCUGGUAGUCCACGCAGUAAACGAUGAAUACUAAUUGUCCGGUCAGAAUGAUGACUGGGUGAUACAGCGAAAGCGUUAAGUAUUCCACCUGGGGAGUACGCCGGCAACGGUGAAACUCAAAGGAAUUGACGGGGGCCCGCACAAGCGGAGGAACAUGUGGUUUAAUUCGAUGAUACGCGAGGAACCUUACCCGGGCUCAAACGUAGAAUGACAGACGGUGAAAGCCGUUCUCCCUUCGGGGCAGUCUACGAGGUGCUGCAUGGUUGUCGUCAGCUCGUGCCGUGAGGUGUCGGCUUAAGUGCCAUAACGAGCGCAACCCCCAUCUACAGUUGCUAACAGGUAAAGCUGAGGACUCUGUGGAGACUGCCGGCGCAAGCUGUGAGGAAGGCGGGGAUGACGUCAAAUCAGCACGGCCCUUACGUCCGGGGCGACACACGUGUUACAAUGGCAGGUACAGCGGGAAGCCAUAUGGCGACAUAGAGCGGAACCCGAAAACCUGUCUCAGUUCGGAUUGGAGUCUGCAACUCGACUCCAUGAAGCUGGAUUCGCUAGUAAUCGCGCAUCAGCCACGGCGCGGUGAAUACGUUCCCGGGCCUUGUACACACCGCCCGUCAAGCCAUGGAAGCCGGGGGUACCUGAAGUGCGUGACCGCAAGGAGCGUCCUAGGGUAAAACCGGUGACUGGGGCU